AACCUAUUAGCUCAGCGGGAGAGCAAUGUGCCACUGCACAUGGAUGUAGGUUCAAAUCCUACAUAGGUUG
This 70-nucleotide transfer RNA is filed under the name Spinacia oleracea (spinach). It matches the Rfam family "tRNA". Rfam says of the family: Transfer RNA (tRNA) molecules are approximately 80 nucleotides in length. Their secondary structure includes four short double-helical elements and three loops (D, anti-codon, and T loops). The record is from Rfam by way of RNAcentral. Lineage: Eukaryota; Viridiplantae; Streptophyta; Magnoliopsida; Caryophyllales; Amaranthaceae.